AAUAGAUACCCUGGUAGUCCACGCCGUAAACGAUGUCGACUUGGAGGUUGUUCCCUUGAGGAGUGGCUUCCGGAGCUAACGCGUUAAGUCGACCGCCUGGGGAGUACGGCCGCAAGGUUAAAACUCAAAUGAAUUGACGGGGGCCCGCACAAGCGGUGGAACAUGUGGUUUAAUUCGAUGCAACGCGAAGAACCUUACCUACUCUUGACAUCCAGAGAACUUAGCAGAGAUGCUUUGGUGCCUUCGGGGAACUCUGAGACAGGUGCUGCAUGGCUGUCGUCAGCUCGUGUUGUGAAAUGUUGGGUUAAGUCCCGCAACGAGCGCAACCCUUAUCCUUUGUUGCCAGCGGUCCGGCCGGGAACUCAAAGGAGACUGCCAGUGAUAAACUGGAGGAAGGUGGGGAUGACGUCAAGUCAUCAUGGCCCUUACGAGUAGGGCUACACACGUGCUACAAUGGCGUAUACAAAGAGAAGCGACCUCGCGAGAGCAAGCGGACCUCAUAAAGUACGUCGUAGUCCGGAUUGGAGU
Molecule: ribosomal RNA, 528 nt
Filed under: uncultured bacterium
Lineage: Bacteria
Description: bacterial SSU rRNA
Rfam family: Bacterial small subunit ribosomal RNA
Source: RNAcentral